This 423-nucleotide ribosomal RNA is filed under the name uncultured bacterium. RNAcentral describes it as "bacterial SSU rRNA". It matches the Rfam family "Bacterial small subunit ribosomal RNA", at positions 207 to 622 of the family's 1533-position model. The record is from RNAcentral.
AAGACCUUGCGCUUUUGGAGCGGCCGAUGUCUGAUUAGCUAGUUGGUAGGGUAAUGGCCUACCAAAGCUUCGAUCAGUAGCUGGUCUGAGAGGACGACCAGCCACACUGGGACUGAGACACGGCCCAGACUCCUACGGGAGGCAGCAGUGGGGAAUUUUGGACAAUGGGCGCAAGCCUGAUCCAGCCAUGCCGCGUGAGUGAAGAAGGCCUUCGGGUUGUAAAGCUCUUUCAGCCGGGAAGAAAAGGCUACGACGAAUAAUCGUAGCUCAUGACGGUACCGGAAGAAGAAGCACCGGCUAACUACGUGCCUGCAGCCGCGGUAAUACGUAGGGUGCGAGCGUUAAUCGGAAUUACUGGGCGUAAAGGGUGCGCAGGCGGUUUUGUAAGUCAGAUGUGAAAUCCCCGGGCUUAACCUGGGAACU